RNAcentral lists this transfer RNA (76 nucleotides) under Firmicutes bacterium CAG:137. Its description in RNAcentral is "transfer RNA-Ala(CGC)". It matches the Rfam family "tRNA". Rfam says of the family: Transfer RNA (tRNA) molecules are approximately 80 nucleotides in length. Their secondary structure includes four short double-helical elements and three loops (D, anti-codon, and T loops). The record is from RNAcentral. Lineage: Bacteria; Bacillati; Bacillota. RNAcentral also lists the same sequence under 4 other names.
GGGCCUGUAGCGCAGUUGGGAGCGCAUCACAUUCGCAUUGUGGGGGUCGAGAGUUCGAAUCUCUUCAGGUCCACCA